GUGGUCCCAAACUUUAUUCCAUACAAAAGUAUGUAAUUCGACUCCUGAUGAGUCGAAAUUGGAUGAGUCGAAAUUUCGGUUGAGUCGAACUAAAUUUACGGUCCCAAGGAUAACAAAGCAUUCAAAAUUCAUUUUUUAUCUCGAACUAAUACACAUAUGUCAAAACAUGACCUCCGGGAUUUAACUGGAUUGAAGAGUUAAUCUGACAAUA
RNAcentral lists this long non-coding RNA (211 nucleotides) under Mytilus galloprovincialis (Mediterranean mussel). Lineage: Eukaryota; Metazoa; Mollusca; Bivalvia; Mytilida; Mytilidae. The record is from RNAcentral.